AUUUCCAGAGACAACGCACAGAGCCACAGAAGUCACAGAUUCAGGCAAAAUGAAAGCAGUGGAUUAAAUGGAGUGAAAAGUAAUCUGGAAAAUGCUUCUGAAAAUCUGUCCUUCUACACAGUUUGCGCCUGUGGAGACCUCUCAGCCAACUGGCCCCCCUCAAAGCACUCUCAGCUUCUGUUGUCUACACACUGUUGCCUCUGGGCCACAGUAACACCAGCACAUGAAGACAAUUACUUGUUGGAGUGGAGAGACAGAGCCUU
RNAcentral lists this long non-coding RNA (263 nucleotides) under Equus caballus (horse). Its description in RNAcentral is "lncRNA (ENSECAG00000046447.1)". The record is from RNAcentral. Lineage: Eukaryota; Metazoa; Chordata; Mammalia; Perissodactyla; Equidae.